AACGAACGCUGGCGGCAGGCUUAACACAUGCAAGUCGAACGCAUCCUUCGGGGCGAGUGGCAGACGGGUGAGUAACGCGUGGGAACGUGCCCUUCAGUUCGGGAUAACCCAGGGAAACUUGGGCUAAUACCGGAUACGUGCGAGAGCAGAAAGAUUUAUCGCUGAAGGAUCGGCCCCCGUCUGAUUAGCUAGUUGGUGGGGUACUGGCCCACCAAGGGGACGAUCAGUAUCUGGUCUGAGACGAUGAUCAGCCACAUUGGGACUGAGACACGGCCCAAACUCCUACGGGAGGCAGAAGUGGGGAAUAAUGGACAAUGGGCGCAAGCCCGAUCCAGCCAUGCCGCGUGAGUGAUGAAGGCCUUAGGGUUGUAAAGCUCUUUCGUCCGGGACGAUAAUGACGGUACCGGAAGAAGAAGCCCCGGCUAACUUCGUGCCAGCCGCCGCAGUAA
This 449-nucleotide ribosomal RNA is filed under the name uncultured bacterium. RNAcentral's name for it is "partial 16S ribosomal RNA". It matches the Rfam family "Bacterial small subunit ribosomal RNA", at positions 29 to 523 of the family's 1533-position model. The record is from RNAcentral.